RNAcentral lists this ribosomal RNA (429 nucleotides) under Lacticaseibacillus rhamnosus. RNAcentral describes it as "bacterial SSU rRNA". It matches the Rfam family "Bacterial small subunit ribosomal RNA", at positions 28 to 429 of the family's 1533-position model. Lineage: Bacteria; Bacillati; Bacillota; Bacilli; Lactobacillales; Lactobacillaceae. The record is from RNAcentral.
GAUGAACGCUGGCGGCGUGCCUAAUACAUGCAAGUCGAACGAGUUCUGAUUAUUGAAAGGUGCUUGCAUCUUGAUUUAAUUUUGAACGAGUGGCGGACGGGUGAGUAACACGUGGGUAACCUGCCCUUAAGUGGGGGAUAACAUUUGGAAACAGAUGCUAAUACCGCAUAAAUCCAAGAACCGCAUGGUUCUUGGCUGAAAGAUGGCGUAAGCUAUCGCUUUUGGAUGGACCCGCGGCGUAUUAGCUAGUUGGUGAGGUAACGGCUCCCAAGGCAAUGAUACGUAGCCGAACUGAGAGGUUGAUCGGCCACAUUGGGACUGAGACACGGCCCAAACUCCUACGGGAGGCAGCAGUAGGGAAUCUUCCACAAUGGACGCAAGUCUGAUGGAGCAACGCCGCGUGAGUGAAGAAGGCUUUCGGGUCGUAAA